This 24-nucleotide non-coding RNA is filed under the name Arabidopsis thaliana (thale cress). Lineage: Eukaryota; Viridiplantae; Streptophyta; Magnoliopsida; Brassicales; Brassicaceae. The record is from RNAcentral.
CUUAUUAAUAUAAGAAGAGUUUGC